ACUUUACAUGCGGGAAACCGUGAUAAGGGAAUCUCGAGUGCCAGCAUAUAAUGUUGGCUGUCCAGAUGCCUAAAAAGCAUUUGUUAGCAAGGGCCGGGCAAGACCGGUGCCAGCCGCCGCGGUAACACCGGCGGCCCGAGUGGUAACCUGUUUUUAUUGGGUCUAAAGGGUCUGUAGCCGGCCAUGUAAGUCCCUUGGGAAAUCUGGCAGCUCAACUGUCAGGCUGCUAGGGGAUACUGCUUGGCUUGGGACCGGGAGAGGUGAGAGGUACCUUGAGGGUAGGGGUGAAAUCUUGUGAUCCUCGGGGGACCACCAGUGGCGAAGGCGUCUCACCAGAACGGAUCCGACGGUAAGGGACGAAAGCUAGGGGCACGAACCGGAUUAGAUACCCGGGUAGUCCUAGCCGUAAACGAUGCUCGCUAGGUGUCAGUCACGGUGCGACCGUGAUUGGUGCCGUAGGGAAGCCGUGAAGCGAGCCACC
RNAcentral lists this ribosomal RNA (481 nucleotides) under uncultured archaeon. RNAcentral's name for it is "bacterial SSU rRNA". It matches the Rfam family "Archaeal small subunit ribosomal RNA", at positions 347 to 828 of the family's 1478-position model. The record is from RNAcentral.